GACGAACGCUGGCGGCGCGCCUAACACAUGCAAGUCGAACGAGCGAGAGAGAGAUUGCUUUCUUGAGCGAGUGGCGAACGGGUGAGUAACGCGUGAGGAACCUGCCUCAAAGAGGGGGACAACAGUUGGAAACGACUGCUAAUACCGCAUAAGCCCACGGUGCCGCAUGGCACAGAGGGAAAAGGAGCAAACCGCUUUGAGAUGGCCUCGCGUCCGAUUAGCUAGUUGGUGAGGUAACGGCCCACCAAGGCGACGAUCGGUAGCCGGACUGAGAGGUUGAACCGCCACAUUGGGACUGAGACACGGCGCAGACUCCUACGGGAGGCAGCAGUGGGGAAUAUUGCACAAUGGGGGAAACCCUGAUGCAGCGAGGCCGCGUGGAGGAAGAAGGUCUGCAGAUUGUAAACUCCUGUUGUUGGGGAAGAUAAUGACGGUACCCAACAAGAAAGUGACGGCUAACUACGUG
This 466-nucleotide ribosomal RNA is filed under the name uncultured bacterium. RNAcentral's name for it is "partial 16S ribosomal RNA". It matches the Rfam family "Bacterial small subunit ribosomal RNA", at positions 28 to 507 of the family's 1533-position model. The record is from RNAcentral.